Molecule: long non-coding RNA, 18075 nt
Organism: Bubalus bubalis (water buffalo)
Lineage: Eukaryota; Metazoa; Chordata; Mammalia; Artiodactyla; Bovidae
Exons: 3
Source: RefSeq, a predicted model, not a curated record
GGGGGGGGGUGGGGGGGGUGGGGUGCGGGGUUACUUGCCUUCUGGAGAGAGCUGGCAGAAUGGUGGGUCCUGUCCCACGAGGUGGCUGAGAUGAAAUAAGAUGAUGGAUGUUAGGUGAUGAGCUCUCUGCUAGGCUUAAUAGACGGAUUGCGACCACCUCCCUCCUCUGCGCCCUAUUUGAAAGGAAGCCACGGUUCACCUCGAACCUACAGGUUUACAGAGAGCCUGAACUUUUACCGUUGGGGGAGUAGGCUGACGAUUGGGAAUAGCCCCACGGGUCUAGUGAAAAGAGAGUCCUAGAAGUGAAGACGUGGGGCCACUUCCGCUGCUGCUCCGGAAGUGCUUCCCAAAGCUGUGGGAGGGGUGCGGACCCUUCCUAGCUGACCCGGAAAGAGAAACUCGCAGGAAGCAUCUAGCGAGCAGGCGAGGUGGCUGUCUCCUAGGUAUUAGAUGUUUUGUGUUUGGUAAACUGAGGAUGAUUUAAGACCCCGGAAAAAAGGCUCCUAACAGAGACGGAAAUCAGGGCAGGGGUGGUAUGCAAACAGGAGCAAUGCGAAGGCCACUGGUCAGCAAGGCAGAGCGAAGAGCAGGCCUUACACGGACAGGGCUGCGGUGGGGCUGGGUGUCCAGGCCUCGUGCCUGCCAUUAACACGUAGCCUAUUCUCAGGCGAGCGAGCACGUGCCGGAAGGGAAAACCUGAAAGAACUCAUAAUCACUUGCCUCCCUGAGGUUUAGAAGACAGGAAACAGAAGCAUCCCCAACAGACCUGGGGAGUAAGGCGUGUUUGAGCCAAGCUUUCUGGUCGCAGUGUUUGAAGGGCUGAACUCUGGAGCCCCGUGGAGGUUUCACCACCUGCUCGUGGGAGGUGGAUUUCCAGCACUUUUCCGCUCGUGUUGGAGUUCCAGGCAAGUGUGCGGGUACAGCGGCAGCCUGCCUUACCGCAUGGAUUCGGGCAGUCCAGGCAGCCAGAGCGGGUGCGCCCCGUUUGGUCCUGUGGCCUUCCAUCCUCCAGCCGCGUCCAGGGGAGAGGCUGUCCGCCCUGAGUGCCCCCAGCUAAACAGGUGGUUGCUGGCAACCCUGCAAGCAAACAAACUGAAGCCAGGAGGAGAGCACCCAUCCAUGGGGACCAGCCGCGACCUCGAAAAAGGCUGAACCCCCACAGGAAGGCGGGCCUGUCCUCCUCUUGGCCCAGGCCAGCUCCGAGCUCACUGCAGGGAAGGAGGCAGAAUCACUGCAAGACCGAAGAGAAGCAGGGGCCGGAAGGGAGUCCCUCUGCCCAGAUGCCUCAGGAGAGAAGCCCUGGCCUGUGUGUGCCUCUCAGGGCACUCUGGACUCUCCUGCCCGCAGAAGCAGGAUUUGGGUAGAAUGGGCCAGGGUGGGCACUGCCAGAACACCCAGGUUACCUGGGAAAAGUUAUUCUGAAGGAAAUCCAGGGAACUAGGAGGGACCAAGUUGUGGAAGAAACAACUGGCUCAGGAGAUUCAAACAAGCCAUUUCUUUCAAUAUCGUUUAUUUAUUUUUUGUGUCAUAAAAAUGCAGAGGAGGAACCCGGGAGAGGAGACUCAAGUGGCUUUGGCUGAGGCUCGAGUCGCACUUGUACCCUUGCUCUCCUUGCUCGGUGUGGCUGAGGCUCAAGUCUCUCUUGUACCCUUGCUCUCCUUGCUUGGUGGACAGACUUACUGCUAAUCAGUUUCUUUCUAAAGCUCAGAAGGGACAAUGUGUUGCUUCUACCUUUUUUCCCUCCAAAGUACAGUGUCACUUCCUACAGCAUUUUCUAGUUAACUCUGGAGAGAACAUAGUGGCAGCUUUAAACAGUUACAACCACUUGGUUCAUGUAUGUUAAGAAAAUGGAGAGAAUUUCAAAUGAAUAUGAAACCUUUAACAAGUAGGUCCCCUGAACAUAAUAGAUAUUUUCCCCUGGUUCAAGUUUAGGACUAAAUUAGGAGGAAUUGGAGAGGGUCCAGAGGAUAGUAAUGAAAAUGAUUAAAGGACCAAUGAUGAAAGGUUCAAGGGGUUGGGAUUACUUAGCCUGGAGAAGAGAAAUUUGAGGGGUGAUUUAAUGGCAAUCUUCAAGUACAGUAUGUGGAGGUUAUUACAAGUAUGGUAGCCAGCUGUUAUCCAGCUGUAUUGAAGGUUGAAAAAAGGAAACAGAACUAGAAUUUCAGCAGGAGAUAGAUUGAAGUUAGACCAGUGGUGUCAGUGGUUCUCAAAGUAGCUCAAUGGAUUGUGGAAUUUUUGUGGAAGAUCAUGAACUAUUGAUGUUUUAAACUUAAAAUAUGUAGGAUUUGCUAAACCUGAUACCAGGCUGUAUAAUAGUAUCAGAAGCUUAAGGGAGAGAGAAUUCUGGACUCCAAAUUGGGAAACUGUCCAUCUGGGGAGGUGAGUGGGAGUUAGACACAGGGAUCCUUGACGGGGGAGCCCAGUUUGAGAAGCAGGGGGUCUGACCGUGGGCGGCACCAGCAGAGGUGCUGAGCGCUGCCGGCAGAGCCCGUCAGGGUGCCUGCAGGCCCAGGAAGGAAGGCAGGCUCCUGGCUGAAUCCCGCGGCCCUGACUCACCCCGAGCCCUGCGCGUGGCCGCGGCGGUGGUGGUCCAGGCUGCGCACGCAGGGCCUCUGAGGACUCGCGGCCCGUGGACGGGGCAGCCAUGGGCCUGCUCACGGAGGCUGGCCGGCAGGCCUUCCGUCCCAGCCCUGGCCUGGCCUGUGGAUGCAGGUCACCAUAACCAACUGUAGAGCAUCAGGAAUUUCACUCUUUAGAAAAAACUUUUUAAAUGUUUUAUUACAAAGCUUCUUUUAAAAAAUGCUCAGCACGUUAACUCAAACUGGAAUGACAAACGUUAGAUUGACAAUUUGGGGCAAAGGCUGUGCCUUGUUAUUAAAAAAAAAAGGGGGGGUACAUAUCAAUGCUCGUUUUAACAACUGGCAUAAAUCCCACUAAUUGGCUAAUAAAAACAGAUACAAAUACAGAACAUUUAAAGUAAUAACAAUUCAAGUGCUGGGCUUUUUACAACAAGGGGGUGAGAAGGAAAGAAAUGAAAAUUCACUGCAAACUGGUCUGCUGAAAGUAUCUGUUAAGGUUACCAUUAAAAAAAAAGAGAGAUCGUAAGAAAAAUAAAGAGGACUGCCAACUGCUGCCCACAGAGUGGACUGGCUGUUACGUUUAUUUAGCUCUAUCAGACACCUUACAAAGACAGAGAGGCCGCUAUUGUUACAGGUAAUUCAGGAGAAGCCACUUAGCAGACGAGAUCGCUCUCAAAAGGAGGAGGCUUCUUUUCAUUUCGUUUUUAUUUCAAACAGUUCCAGAUCUUUGAAUUUUACUUAAAAAGCUCAUAGCUAGCAAAAUAUACAAGAAAAAAGAAGUGUCAAUUUAAAAAAAUUCAAGUUUAAAAAAAGAAGCAAACAAGACAGAUCCUUUUGCACUGUUAAAUAAAAGCUUGAGGAGAAGAAACACGAAGCCGGAAACAGAGGGAACUCUUCCCCACAUUCCUGCGGGGACCUGGCGGCUCUGCUGCAGCCGCUCCCGCUUCCGCUUCCAGUGCUCAGGUGCUUGGGGCAGGCGGAAGCAGCCAGGUUACUGUCCUUGCCAGAAGGUUACAGAUACGGAUGCAGGACGCUCUGGGAAGUGCACAGCGGAGGGGGGAGGAAAGCUGCUCAGCUGACCCAGGGCCUGCUAGCAUUCUCGUGCGUUUUCUUUUAAAAAAACCUUAUAUGCUUUACUGUGGAACUUGGCUCUUGCAGUAGAUGAAAGGGGGUUGGCAGUGAUUGUCUUUAUGGAUCAGCGUCUCUAGCAGUGACCUCAGGGUGAAGUUGGUGUCAUUUCUCCUUUGGGGUCGACUGGGCAAGCCGUGGAGACAGUCUGGGUUUUCAACAAGCUUCCAUCUCCAGGAGAGGUCCCGGGGUCGCUGCCUUGGCUUUGCACGUUGGGAAUGAGCUUCGUUUUCCACCUCGAGAAGGAACAAAUAAAAUGCUGUUAAUGCGCAUUUGCCACAGACCUUUACAGAUUUUGAACCUCAGCUGCAACCUCUUAAGAGCUCUGCAUUUAAUUAAUUAAUCCUCUUUGUUGAUCUGGUGAUAGCUAAGACAGAUUGCCCUAAGGUAGCCCUAAAUCCUGAGAUUACGUUAGAGAAUAAGUGUACUUUACUCAAGUGUUUACCUUAGUUCCAUGUAUAUGUAUAUAUAUGUACAGAGUUAUGAUGGGAAAUACACAUAAUACUUUGGAUCACGGUUCUUAAAAAUAAAUCUGAAAAACGUCAGAAGAGAAUGGCCAAACAUGAACCGUAAUGGCGGGCCAUGGCCAGCUCGGGAGGGUCUGUCAUUCUAAAGUGUUCGGUCUUUUCAGUCCACUGUGGGGAGCUGUCGUAGGACUCUGCACGCGUGCGUAUGUGCUAAGUCACUUCAGUUGUGUCGCACUCCUUGCGACCCUGACAGGAGACUAAAAGCACACUCAAGUGAGUGAGUGCCCCACAUUCCCACAACAAGCAGCCGUGCAGCCGGGAUGGCUUCUGUCCGCUCAUAUUCAGUCUGAGGAGCAUAAGCUUCUCCAAUAUUCAGGCUUCAAUUCUUAGUAUUUUUUUUUCCCUUUAUAACAACUAGGAUCUCUAAUAUUAUGCUUGGGAUGUACACUCAACAAGUAUUUAAAGAUGUUGCUGAUGACAAGAGCAUUCAAAAAGGAUAAUCCCUAAACCCCAAAAGUUUUAAUAAUCUUAGACCCAAAGAGUGAUUACAAAUAAAACAUUGCAACAGAAUCAGAGACGAAAGGAAAGCAAAAGCACCCCCAAGUUCAGCUCCUCUGUGGACAGCAUCCAAUGCCCCUCCUUUGCAACUGGGGAGACGGCCUGGUCCAGCUGCAGGGAGGUCACCUCCCCCACCUGGUCCCCUGGCAGCUCAGACGAAUCUCAACUGUCUGUGCUGCAAUGUCCUCUUAUUAGCAAACAUUUCCUUGAAAAAAAAAUUCUAAAUAGUGGAGUGCAUUCCUUUAUGCUUUUUGAGUAGAAAGAAACCUUGGAGGAGAAGUAAAAGGAAACUUUGAAAUAGCUUAAUAAUGAGAAACUAAACUCAGGAUGGUGAGUUCCAAUCCACAUGGUGCUGUUCAGAGAAGAGCGGUCCGGAGCCCAGGGGCUGGGAGGAGCGGGCCGUGGGCUGUGGUGAGGAUGGGCGCGGCCGGUACCCUGGAGGGACGCGCAGAGCGCACAGUGAGCCCCUGCGUUAGGGCCCUGACCAGCCGCGUGUGAGCAUUAUCAUUACGGCCACCGCCACCAGUGCUGUCCCUCCAGAUGACGCAUCAUCACAACUGUGAAGAGAUGUUUAUCUGGUGGCUGGUGAACAGGCAAGUGGAAGCACGAGGGGAGGAAAGCAGCCAGAGAAUGCUGCCUUCAACACAGCGAGGUCUUCAGGGACGGUUUCAAUUCCUCUCCUGCAAGACUGCCCUUCGCCCAAUUAACAGGAAAACCAUGCAACAGCUCUGUGGUUUUUAAAAGUUUAAGCAGAAUACAGAUGCUUCACACAGGAGGAUGGAAGCGCUGCAAAGGGCCUGGCUUUCCAAGGAGACGGACAGAGCCUGGGCAAGGGGUGGAGGCACUGCCCACAGAUUCCUAGUCACAGGGUGCUUGGGCACCCCUGACUCCCAGGGCCAGGUCCAUUUCCUAAAAAAGCCAGUUCUUUCUGUAGUGUCACACGUUCCCACCAUUAUUUUAUUACCACAGUAUCCUCUUACAGGAUCCUCCUGGAAAGCUGGUUCCAGAGGUGCUCUGUACAACUGCCAAUCAAAAAGUGCCUCUUUUCCACCUUGGAUGCUCUAAUAGUGUAACUAGUGUUUAAAUAAAGUGGUAAAGAAACUGUCUAUCAAAUGAGCACCUUAUUUGAAUCUGGUUGGUCCUUUAAAAUAUAAGGUGGUCAGGGGAGACCAGUUUUACCCCAAAUGGGAAAAAUGGGGGCCUUCCAGUGUUGCUUUACAGAUAUAAAACAGGUCAAAUCAAGAUUCUUUUCAAGAAACCACAGGCAUGAAGCUUGGGAGACUGGAGACUUCCACAUCUAAGGCUUCACUGGGGGGCCUGUGGCUGAGGCUGGGCUGGCCAGGCAAGCCCCAGUGCAGCCCAACCCAGCAGCGGAGUCGGUACAAUCAAAGCUGCAAUUACUGUGCCUGCUUCAAAGGGAGCUUGGAGCCCCAUCUUACAUGUCAGGCUUGGGCUCCCUCCGUGAGGAGUCACCACGUGGGCCAUUUGUUGAGUGACUCUGAAGGAGGCACAAGAAAACACCCUCCCCCCACCAUCCAGCUGAAAUCCAGCACUCUCUCCUGGACUGAACUCCAGUCUUGACAGAAUAUCCUGCUAACCAAAUGGAACCAGGAGCCCAGACAGAGUUGCUUAUUAAGAGCCCAAGUGCUAAAGGGAAAUCUCAAUUUCAAGACAGACCUGCGUCUGGGAGAUGACCUUGGCUCAAAAGAUGUGAAGAAAGGGAAAGGGGAGAUGUCUUCUUAAGUGCAAACAUCAGCCUCUAUUGGAAGCCAAGUGCUUUGCCAGCCCUUAUCCUUGGGGUUCUGUGGCCCAGCCCUCCCCCAAGUCUGUCCUCCAGCAGAAGGGGCAAGGAACCAAGCCCAUCAGCAGGGCCAAGGUGGAGAAGAGGAGGCCUGACACGUGAUGAGGACCCACCCGGUCAGAUGCAGCCACGUGGGCACAGCAUGCUGAGAGAUGCCUUGUCAUGUAACAGCACCUCCUCGUACAGAAACCGCGAGGAACACACAAAGGUGGUUGGAGUAAGAGAUCCUUCCCCUCCCAAAUGUUACUAGCAAAGAGCAGGAACUUUAAAAUGUUUUUAGUUACAAUGUGAAGUUUGAGGAGACAGCAUCAAAGAUGAGUCUGUGAAAGGUGAACAGAAGCAGAGACUUUGUAAAGAGCGCCUGCCUCUCCGCAGCACACCACACACCUCCUGGGCACGGCCAAGUUUUCCUGCCUCACCUCUGGGCAAACCGACACAAGCCUGCUCUCUCGGGGCGGGCGCCCCUCUGCAUGUGUUUACACAGCAGACUUCUAGAGCAGAGAGCGAGCAAGACAGAGCUGGUCUGCCCUGUCCUUCUAGAGGGGAUGGAGGCAUUUGCUCAUCAUUGACUGGUCUGAGGGACCCCUAGAGAUUCGCUGGGGCUCCUGGUUCCCCGUAGGUCACAGGAGCUGGCGAGGAGGAAGGGACAGUGUGGGCUGAGCCCGGCGGCACCAGGGGCUGGGACAGACACGGCGUCAUGUAACCGCGACGGCCCCGCUGACUUCGGCCCAUCUGCAGAGAAGGACCGGGCUGUGUGAGGCGAAUGGCCUUGGCUAAGGUCACCAUAGCGGGCAGAAUUAGCUUCUGAGCCUUCAACCCAAUUUCUUUCCACCGUACUGCAGAGCGGAAUUAUCACUCCCUUGCUUCUCGCCUGGCCGCCUGCCAUACCCAUGAGCCAGUCAACAGCACUGUUAUGACAGUGGAGGUGGUGGUGGUCUACAUCUAGACCACUGUCCACCCCAAGAUGACCUGCUCUCAGAGCAGGAUGAGAGGACAAAGAGCGUGAGAAAGCAACUGGGAAAUUAAAUCUCUAAGAUUUAAAGUAUCACCUACAGAAGGCAGAUUCAGGUCUUUGAAAGGAUUACCCAGUAUUUGAGAAAAAGAAAGAACGAUAAUAUGUGGCUGGGAAGGUUGGUGCUGUCUAUUCUUUCUACAGUGGAGUUAGCCCUUAAGUCCCAGCAUCAAGCUAGCCGGCCCCCAGUCCCCAGCUAUAAGCCCCGAUGCAAGAUGAUUCCACAAUGUGGAGGAAGGAGGGAGAGGGCAGGGCCAUGAGGGGUCACUGGCCUUGGGCUUGGACCCAGGUCAUAUAGACCAAGGCAAGGUCACUGCAUGUGUGUGGUUUCUUCCCUUGUGGUUAUUCAGAGUGAAUCAUUAUCUGGGCAAGCAGAUUUUGGCAAUGUUAAGAUGACUCUGAGGCAGGCCUGUAACUAUUAAUAAACUGCUCUAGGGGACUUUCUUAUUUCCAUCUGCAGCUACUGGCUCCUCUUCUCAUCAGCCCUUUGCCUCUCCCUUGUGAGGAAGCACAUCACAUUGGUUGGCGGGGCCUCACAGAUCCCACCCUAGACCCCUACCUCCACAAGAAACACUGCAGAAAUAUUCCUGAGGAAAGUUUUGAAUAAGAGAGCCUCAAAAUCCAUUUUACUUCUGUAUAUCAAAGUGCUUCAGGAGGACAGUAUCUAUGGAGACUCAUACCCAUUUCUAAAUUCUUUAUCCAAUUCACUUUUUCUCUCUACAAGUUCUCCUACACUAAAGAUGCUAACUUCACCUUCUAAAAGUGAGGCAAGAGAACUAGUGUGCGCUCUGUUUUCUUUCCACUGUCACUUCUGUAUGUGUAGGAGUCUGUGAGUCUUAAGUAUCCUAGGGAGGUGACAAUGCGUUACGGGUUCUGAGCAUGAGCUCUGAGAACAGUCAGUCCUGGGCUGGGUGAGCCCCAGCCUCUAUCACAUCACCUGAUUAUCCUCAGCAAGUUACGUAAAAACCCCAGUCUCCUCACCUGUAAAAUAGAAAUAUUGAUAGUACAUCAUUACACCUCAUAAUGUACGCUGAGGGGGAUGAAAGGAGAUAAUCACCCAUGACAUUACAUGCCUAGCAUCUGAACGGUGCAGCGAGUGUUGGUUACUGUGGCGGGUGGAGAUGUGAGCUAAAGAGAAACAGAGCUAGGUCUGAGCCUGACGCUGCUGCACGCCGACUGCACGGCCCUAGGCAAGUUACUGACAUCUUCUCACCCCUCACACAGCGCCAAGACCCCUCCCCAUACAGGGCUGCCACAAAGUGGGGCGUAGAGGCUUCUGUUAGCGCGUCCAGGACAGAAUACGUGGUCCAGCAGUGUUAGUUCUGUUUUUGUUGUUCCGACCUCAUGUGGCACGUUUGGGGGUAAAAGCAACUGUUGUAUUAUUUACAGAAUUUCUGGUGCAAAAUUAAGAAUAGAGAAUUCUGCAAAGUCUCUCUUAUCAAAUGUAUUAUAAAAUAUCUUCUACAAUGUCUACAGAAAUACAGUGAUACCUGGGAAAAAAUACCAAAGGGCAGCAAAAAUUUUGUUGUUAUAUUUACAGAGGAUAUAUCUGAAAAUUUAGAAAACUUCAAGUUAGAUUUGACUUAGGACUUAAAAAAGUGGGCACUACUGUUUGACUGAAAUGCUUUCAUUUCUUCCCCCUCAUUCUGUCAAAAAAAAAAGAGUGACUUUGCUAAGGCAGGAUCACCUCAGAUUAUUAGACUCACUCCUCGGAUCUAAGACCUGGCAGCUUCAGACCCACAGAGCACAGCUGAGGAAGUGGAAGGGCCUUAAGCUCUCACUGCAGUAACAAAAGAUUCAUGAAAAAAAAAAAAAAAAAGGCACAUUUACCCUUCCUAAUAAGAGCACCUUCCAUACGCCAACUCAGACUCUAUUUAAUGUAUAUAUUAUUCAAAUAAGCUUUAUUUUCUGGUUCCCAAAUCCACAAAAUGGAUCUGAAGGAACAUAUUUACUACUGUCAGGGAGAGGUACAGUCCCUAGUCAGAAUGAGAAGACAGUAAAUGAAAAAGAGCAGAUCUUUAGAAAUCCCCUAUUAUUUGGGGUCAUUUACAAGGGUCAGAUACCAUCAAUUCCUUGUUGCCAUAUACCAUACAGUACAUUACUCUACAGAAUAAUGGCAUGAGGUAUUAAAAAACAUUUAAAUAACAUGUACUCUGCUGAACAAAGAGCGGUACUCACAAGAGUUUAAAAGUACAUGUUUUGAUACUUAAACAGGUAAACCUCGAGUUCGCUAGCAAACUCCAUUAUCCAGAAGGAAAAUUCUCUGUUUCAGACAACCAAAUUUGUCCAAAACAUUUUAUUCUGUGAACUAUUCUUAAGUGCUUGGAUCUUAAUUUCACAGGUUUCCAUGGACAAUACUAAAGACCAUGUGUCUCGAGGGUUGUAAGAGCCUUGUUCUUCUCUCUACUAGCAUUUUUUAAUGGCAUGUGAUCACUCCCACUAGCCAAGGGGUCAGUUUCCUAUUUGUUUCCCAAGGCAACUUAAACCUGAUUUUAGCUCUUGUGACCAUUCAAGAGCGGCACAGAACUGAUGGGAAGGACACUGUGGCACUGCAGAGAUUUUCCGAGCUCUCGCUGUAAGCACGAUCCUCUCCCUGUUCCUUCACCAGUGUACAGCCGCCGAGACAAACCACCACGUGUGCUAGACUAACAGCCCAGCCCCCGGUGUGUAGUGCACCGAGGCGGCCAUCUGCCUGCCCCCCUCUUGAUUAUUCCAACGCCAACACACCCCUGGUUUUUUCACUUUCUCAUUAUCAAAGCCUUCAUUUCUACUUUGAGACUUUGGAUAAGCCUUCCUGUUUCCUAGGUAUUUCCAGUUUUACUAGUCUGUAACCAGUUGGCUUUGCUUUCUAACUUGACCAGCCAAUCUGGGAACCAGAGGCUCACUGAUAGUUAAUGUGGGUGACUACAUCUGUCCUCGGGGAACAGAGUUCAGGGCAAAGAUUAGGCAAAAGUGUCACACUCACUAGGGUGAGCUUCAAAAACUGUAUGAAGUAAACGUUUUUCUCAAGGAGACUCCUGAAAAGACUCAGACCUCUCCCUGACUCUCAGGAGCACACAGCCAAGUCUCGGGCUUCAGGCAAGUCUCCUGGAGACCUUCAGUCAGUUCUGAAGAGGACUCCAGUCCAAUCAAAUGGAAGGCUAGAAAAAAUUUUAAAAGAUAUAAAUCCAAGCACUGCACAAUUAACUAUGGUGCUGUCUACUAUACUAGAAAUUACUUCUCCCACACACUUGUUGGCCCAGGAAAAUAAAGGCUAAAGUUUUCAUUUAGGAAAAAAUAUUUUAAAUUCUCAGUUUAGCAAGUGUAUAAGGUAAAGAUUAUUCCAAGGCCAAAAUCAUAGUGUAGUGUGUCUUUAUAUGGGUGCCUGUCUGUAUCUCUUGGUGUGCUUAACUCUUUUUUUUUUUAAAAAAAAAAGGUAGCUUGUUUUUAAACUAGCCUUUUGGUGUUAUAUGAUCAAAGGAAAUACACUGAAAAUCUAUAUAAUUUUAAGAUAAUGGACUUUUUAUAUGUUUUGCUAAAGUAAAUAUUAGUAAACCAAUCAGUAAUGUUUUUUAAGUUAGUAAAUGGAGAAUAAUAAUCUUCUCCACCUUUUCAAAAAUUUUUAAUUCUUUGCUGCUUCAAUUCCUCAUGAAUCUUAAGUCAGGAAGAAAGGCAAGUAUUUGAUGAUAAUCUUUGACUUCUGACAACCUUGAGAUGUUACAUAUUUCAAAUCUAACAUGUACCAGAAUACUGGAAACUCACAACUUGACCAUUGUUCUUUCAAACCCAAGAAUUGUUCCAUGACUGGACAGCUCAAGUGUGACUUCCCACUCCAGGAAGCCUUCCUUGAUCCCGUUUUGAUUUGUGUUAACACAGUGUACUGUGUGUGCUUCCUCUCUACCGUACACAUAUUAUUUUGUAAUUAUUCAUUUAUACGUCUGUAUCCUCUUAAACAGAGAGUUCCUCUGGAAAUGGGCAGGGUUCAUUUAGCAGGUCACCCCACUGCCUAAAGCAGUUCUUGAUUUGCUCGAGUAGACCUCAUUGGAUGUUCACAAAGUGAGCAAACAACUGGUGUUUAGGACACCGGCCCUCACGGGAGUGUGUGUGCAGUCUCACUGCCUGGGGCCCUGGGCUCCCGGCAUUCCUACAAGUGAAGAGUUAGUUUAAAAAAAGCUAAGGAUGAAUUUGGAUUUCUUGAAAGAUCCCACAGCUUGGAAAUCACCUCCGAUUUGGAGGAAUGUCUUUUGUAGAUCCUAAUUCUAAUUAUUCCUAAAGUUGGCUACAAGAUGUUGAGACUGGGUUAAUGCUAAUUUCUUUGUUUCAACUUGAUUUCACCAGAAUGACUAUUUUUAUAUAAUGCACAAAAGUUGAAACACACAGGCAGAUGGGGACACAGCUGGGUGUAUGAAGCAACUCCAAUGGCAUUUCCCAUCAACAAAGUGAAAGCAUUAAAUGAAGCGCGUGUCUUUUAAGGAGUAGAAGAGACAAGUUCUCAGACGGCUUUUGUUCACAGAGGAGUCUUUUCCCUAUAAUCCACCAUAUCCCAUGCUAGUUCAGAGUAAUGAGAGCUCCCUACCAUUUGAGCUACAUCACAGACUUCUAAGCUCAGUGAUCUAAUUUAACGGGAAUUUCUUUUAAGGAGAGCAGGGUAACGGUAAAUUUCAUUGUACAGAGAGAAACCCUCUCAAAAAUCUCUUCACGUUGGAGUCACAGCAUCUUCCCCAUCUGGGCACUGCGUUCCAUCAGCUUUGCCUUCCUGCAGGGAUAGCCUGACUCCAGGAUUUCCCUUCGGAGCUGAGAGCAAGCCCUAAGAGACCUCACACCCGCUGUGGGCAGGACUGCGCCUAACCAAAGACUCCAUCUGCCUUGGGCUCCUGAGGUGGGGCCAGCACAGGUGGGACUGAAGUCUGGCAGACAAGAGGCCACGUGGCGGCACCAGUAGGGAAGCGAAGCCUCGAACGAGAGGCAGUGCUUCUGUCGCUCAUUCCAGGGGCGGGGGGAGGUGACCUGCACAGGAUUGAACAGCAAGCACAUCGUGCACAAGUCGUUUUCAAGAUCAUACAGGCGCCUUAUUAGUUCUACAGAGCCGCCCCACUCACACCUAGAAUGAGGACAGAUUAGUAAACAGAAGAGACUUCGAGUCCCUUUACUAACGCUUGGGAGGCAGGGCAGCCCGCGGAAGCACAAAGCAAACCAGGAAAAGUUGGGACUGGAGGCAGCUGGGAGCUUAGAGGCCAGGAAAUAGCCCUCUUUCACUUCUGCCUUCUGCUGAGGGACCGGAGGCUCCUGACUUAAACCUACUGCCCCAGGUCAUCACAUGGCACAGGGAGGGCUAAUGUGAGAGCCUGGGUGGCCUCACUCCCAGUCUAAGCUCUUUCUAACAGCGGGAUGCUCUGUUGCCCUGGUCUUCCAUUUAGAACAAUACACAGAACACCCUCCAUGGAAGACAAUCGCUUAUUACCGAGUGUCACCUCCUCAGGAGGCCCUGUGUCGUCAUCGGCCCAGAGCCAACCCUCCGUCACUCUGCUUAUUUGUAGUACAGCGCGCACACGCUUCUGGUUUUAAUCAGUUGCCCUGCCAGCAAUGUAAGCAGUACAGAGCAGGGGCCUCCGGAGCCUCGUUCAGUGGUGUAUUUCUAGGUAUUACAGCGCUAACUGGCAUUUAUAAAGUGCCCAAUAAAUGCUGAAUAGUAACUAAACAAGUCAACUGCUACCCAUAGAAGUUUCUGAAUUCUUAAAACAAAGAAAGGGGUGGGGAAACAGUAGGGGUAGUAUCAUUCCUAAUUUGCUGAAAUCUUUAUGAAUGCAAAUCUGACCUCCUCUCUGCUUAGUAACUCUUAUCAAAUGACUGGCAGUGCCGUUCUCUAAAAUAGGAUAGUGUGGAGGACAGGACUUCAAAGGCUGCAUGACUGAUCCAGCACCGAGAGGGGAGAGGAACACUCAAGACUCUGAUUAAGUGCAGCCCAGCUGACAAGAGCCAAGAAUUUUUUUCUUGGGGCUGGGGGAAGGUAAGCUUUGUUGUGCUUUUCUGGAGCAGGGCAGAGGGGACACCCUGACCUCAAAAAAAAAAAAAAAAAAGAAAAAAAAAAGCAAACACGAAAGUGACAAGGAAGCAUAAUGAUUACUGUAACAUUAUUUUUUAAAAAGGAGAUAUUUGGGGUACAUUCUAGGACAAAAAGGCAUUUCGCUAAUCUUCAAAUCUAAAAUACUAUAUAAUCAUAAAGGACACAAAACCAAAUAUUAAAGUCUGAAGUAUAGAAACAAAAGUAUAGAAACAGAUUUCUGCAUGAUUUUUGAAUAGAAACAGCAUUAAAGAUGGUGGUGCAAACAGAGGACAGAGUAAACCAGACCAUUAUCAGUCCUUAGCAUGUUGUGCUUAUGAGGGUUUUCCAUUUAGAACCAAGCAUUAAAGGGGCUGCUGUCCAUACCCAGGUGUUCAGUAAUUAAAAGAACAAUAGUCUUCAAGAAAUAAAACGCGACAAAAAAGGUACAAAAGCAUAUGUGUUUACUACUAGAACUAUUUCUAAACUAUGAUGCCGUAAGUACCCGGGGGCUGGGCCUGUGCUCCUGGUAACCCAGCUACAAGGCCAGCUCAGAAGAGGUCCUCAGUAAUAGCUAUUAAGCUAAAUUAAAUAUGAACAUCAACUGUGACAUUAUUUUUCUGAUACCUGUUUGGUCACCUGUAUGAAGGUCUGAUCUUUAUACCUGGAGAAAAGCCUGCCACUAACUACUAGUUUAUAAGACUUUUGAUAUCAUAAAACAAUGAUGAAAUUGUGAAGAACUCUGAGACUCUGAAUAAAGAUGAAGAAAGGCUCACAGAGAAGAGGACAGCUGAGUUGGGUCUUGGUGUGGGGUGGAGGGAUGAAGGGAGGCCACUGAUGAUAAACAAAGAACCCUAAGGGGUGGCGCUUACUGUUCCCAUUUUAGAGUGGAGGGAAAUGAAGAUUAAGAAUCUCAAGCUGGGAAAACAGUGGAUGUAAAAUUCAUAUCUAUUUGGUACCAAAAUCUCUGCAGGCUUUCCUAGGAAAACCCAUUGAAAUUUUAGCACCAAAAUCAAGUUCUAAAAGUUUAAGUGGUCAUCUUGUUCUAGUAAAGAACUAAAUGACCCACAAGCUAAUGCUCUUCUCCUGAGAAACACCACACUCAGGCAGAGGAAAUGGGCUUUCUGAGCACAGGGACAGCAUGUGCAGCAGCCUCCAUCUGUCUGGGGGACGCAGAUGAUUUUGCUUGGACGGAGCACAGGACGCAUGGUUGGAGGUGAGGAGAGGCAGAGCACGGAACCUCGAGCAGAGGGUAGACGCAGGCCCGCGCUAACGUGGUCUGCACUGUGUCCUUCAGACGGGGAGGCACUGGCCCUUUUCAAGCAGGGAAGUGGACCAUUCAUUUGUGUUUCAGCAAAUCCCUCUGAGAGCAACACAAAGAACUGGCAGAAAUGAAGUCUGGCAGCAGGACAGUCAUCCAAAGCUAGUACAGUAACCCAGAUGGAAAGUUAGAGCACCUGAGCUGAGGCUGUGGACUGCUGAGUGUGAGAGGCAAGACUCGAGACAGACCCCAAAGACUGAGUUGACGGGACUGGAUACGGGUUCCUAGAGAGAAGAGAAUCAAAGGGAGUGCCUCUGAGAAGAACUGAGAAUUCACAGACACACUAUGAAAUCGAAGCCUGGCAAAGAAUGAGGCAGUUUACAAAGCCAGGUUUCCACCAGGGAUGCUGGUCACAUGGUCAAAAAUCAAAUGAAAUAAAUUUAGCUAUAAAGAUGAGAGCAAGAUCUAGCAAUGGUUACCAGUAACGAACUUGAUAGUACAAUACAGUUAAUAAGUCCUCAAGCCAUAUAUUUAAAUAAUAGAAAAAAAUGAAGCCUCUUUCUCCCUAGAAAUAAAUACAUUACUUGUAAGCCUCUAUAUAUCAUCCCAACUGAGAAAAAGUCUCUACAGAGCAAAACCUUCCAAGUCCUGGGCUAGUGUGGGCCUGAGUUCCUCCAGCACAGCCCUGGGUUUGCAGAGUAAGAUGGCAUUUUGCUGGGUUUUGUUACUUGUCUUUUAAGCAGGCAGAUUGCCAUUGGUUAGUAAGGAAUGGUUGACAAGAGUUAGGGGAAAGGGAAUGGAGAAAGAUUAAAGGGGCAAAAAAGGGAAGAAGAGAGACACAUACUAUAUUGCAAGUCUAUAGCCGGUAUAAAAACCAUGAGAUGUUUUAAAGCACUGCUUGGAUUUUGGUGGUCUUUCCUCUUUAAAGGAGCCAUGCUGAACGGCAUCAGGAUAAGCAAGAAGAUUCACACGCAAGUGCCUCUGUUCGUAAGUAACGUCAGCAGUAGGACCAGAGAGUCGUUCUUACCAUGUUUCAGAUGUAGGCAGCUGUCAUUCUUGGACCUGUACCUGCAGAAAAUUGUGUCUUUAACAAAUUUUUAUUGAAGAGGUUUUUGUACAUUCCAAAUACGUAGUAGCUACAAUAUAAUGUGGACCUCUUUGCUUUCUUUUUUAUGGUUCUUAUACCAGCCGUUUUUCAUUUGUGCAGUACAAGUAGAGGCCUUAUCUUUAAUGAAAGAAAAGGGGAAAUAAAUAGGACCUCACUGAUUGAUGCCUUGAAUUACUGUACAGGAAAGAUAAACCCUAGCAUCAUGUUUUAUAUUUUUAAAUAACCCCAAACCAUAGAAAAGAUUCUCCAGGGGAUACAAGGUGGCAUAUCACAGGGUCAUCAUAAAAAACUGUAAUGUGAGGAAUUAUGCAACUAGAAGAACAGGAGUGUUAAAGCAAAGAGAAGACACACAACAAAAGCAAAAACAAAACUAAGGAAAAAAGAAAACAAUCACAGUUAACAACGAGGAUUCCUGGUAACAGGGUUUGGGGGAGCUUUUUAGAGGUACCUUCACAUAGUCACAUUUAAAAGAAAGCUCUUUCAAACAUUUUAAAAGAAUUUCAGGAGGAAAAGCCGAGUUUAGGAAUCACAGUAUAGUUGAAAAAUAAAGCAGUGUAUAGAAAGAUGCAGACUGCUUUAAAGGUGUUCCUCAGAAGCAGAGCGGGCUGGAAAGUCACACGGGGCCUACCUGAUGUGGAUUCCUGUAGCUUCUCUCUCUUCCUCUUCUUUUUCUUACCCUGGAAGAAGACAGGCACACUGUCACAGACUGUACUGUGAGCACAUGGAUGAAUGUGAUACAAAAGGACAGGCAGGCAGUCAACGGAGAGGUAAGACACCUCAAUAUCUCUUUCUUUACCAUCUGUACCUAGAAACCGAGAGCAAGAGAACAAUUCUUAUCUGUGACCUUUGUCUUUUUGGCUUCAACAUUUAAUGUCAUAGGUAUUGAGUUGGCAGUGACCACACGCACACAGGAUAAUGAUGUCCUAGGGCUGUGGUGGGCUUCCCUGGUGGUUCAGGGGUAAAGAAUCCACCUGCCAAUGCAGAAGACGCAGGUUCAGUCCCUGGGUCGGGAAGAUCCCCUGGAGAAGGAAAUGACAACCCACUCCAGUAUUCUUGCCUGGGAAGUCCCAUGGACAGAGGAACCUGGCAGCUCCAGUCCACGGGGUAGCAGAGAGCUGGACAUGACUUAGCAGCUAAACAACAACAACAAGGGCUGUGGCCACAGACACCACCUCCCACUCGAGGAAGCCCACAUAAGGAGCUACUCCAGUACUCCUUUUAUUGCUAACCAUCGCACUUAGAAUCCACUUCUGGUAGAGGUGAUGAUAAAUCUUCCUUACUAUGAAUUCGACCAUCUAAUUAAAAAUCCACAACGUUAACAGGAUCUUCAGCCCCUGUGGCACAGACACGACAUAACCGAGACAGCAGUAGGAGGAUAAGACAGAACCUGAGAAAACUCAAAAGGAUUAUCCUAAGGACUAGAAAACAACACACAAAGCAUUUAAGAUAGUUCUUGACAAUUGGCAUGCGGCAGUUACUAAAACCACCAAGACACAAUCCAGGAGAGUCGAUGAAGCUGCUGCUCCCAAGUCACAAACAGCAGGACUCUUACUUCCUAUGUCAGACUUGUAUCCAAUGAGGAGGCUCCAAAUCCUGACCAGUAGGGACUUUUUCUUCAACAUGUUAUAGGAGACUGUGUUCCCAAAGUCUCUGUGCCUCAUUAUAUGGGAUGUACGACCUCACACUUGUGGCCCCACAGGAUCAUCCACAGCAAUGGUCACACGGUAAUCUACAUGUUGAUUCAUGGCUUCACCGUUCUUGAAAAGGACAACUACAUCUAAUAAGAAGACUGUCCUAGCUGGCACUUUGAAUGCGAGCCUCACAAGAAACAUGAAAAUGAUCUUCAAAUUUUUAAAUUAAGAGCUUAAGUGACCAAAAACAUUCCCCUCUAUAAAAUAGGAUACAACUGAUAUCACUUACAAUAUUCUUUCUCAGAAGUAGUUUUUGUUGUAUCAAGACAAGAACAAGAUGUUCAAACUAUAAAGUAAUAAAACAACUGGAAAUUAAAAUGAGGUGCUUACUGCAAGGAGAUCCAACCAGUCCAUUCUAAAGGAGAUCAGUCCUGGGUGUUCUUUGGAAGGACUGAUGCCAAAGCUGAAACUCCAAUACUUUGGCCACCUCAUGCGAAGACUUGACUCAUUG